This 585-nucleotide ribosomal RNA is filed under the name uncultured bacterium. Its description in RNAcentral is "bacterial SSU rRNA". It matches the Rfam family "Bacterial small subunit ribosomal RNA", at positions 338 to 916 of the family's 1533-position model. The record is from RNAcentral.
CCUACGGGAGGCAGCAGUGGGGAAUUUUGGACAAUGGGCGCAAGCCUGAUCCAGCAAUGCCGCGUGAGUGAAGAAGGCCUUCGGGUUGUAAAGCUCUUUUGUCAGGGAAGAAACGGCCGAGGCUAAUACCUUUGGCUAAUGACGGUACCUGAAGAAUAAGCACCGGCUAACUACGUGCCAGCAGCCGCGGUAAUACGUAGGGUGCAAGCGUUAAUCGGAAUUACUGGGCGUAAAGCGUGCGCGGGCGGUUUUGUAAGUCUGACGUGAAAUCCCCGGGCUCAACCUGGGAAUUGCGUUGGAGACUGCAAGGCUGGAGUCUGGCAGAGGGGGGUAGAAUUCCACGUGUAGCAGUGAAAUGCGUAGAGAUGUGGAGGAACACCGAUGGCGAAGGCAGCCCCCUGGGUCAAGACUGACGCUCAUGCACGAAAGCGUGGGGAGCAAACAGGAUUAGAUACCCUGGUAGUCCACGCCCUAAACGAUGUCUACUAGUUGUCGGGUCUUAAUUGACUUGGUAACGCAGCUAACGCGUGAAGUAGACCGCCUGGGGAGUACGGUCGCAAGAUUAAAACNCAAAGGAAUUGACGG